This 58-nucleotide non-coding RNA is filed under the name unclassified sequences. The record is from RNAcentral.
UGCAGAGUAGCGGACAGAAAUGUCCGUGUAAUGCAGCCAGAGAACGUUACAAGCCGUU